Molecule: ribosomal RNA, 698 nt
Filed under: Triticum aestivum (bread wheat)
Lineage: Eukaryota; Viridiplantae; Streptophyta; Magnoliopsida; Poales; Poaceae
Description: partial small subunit ribosomal RNA
Source: RNAcentral
AAAACUCUAUAUUUACUCAGGAGAAGGACCACAGUAUGUGUCACGGUUGUCAGUCCGAUGUCUAUGGUUUUUCUCCGCAGAAGGCCAAACAUUACGUCACGGUCGUUAUGCAGACGACCGUUGUAGUCCAGCCACACAUUCAGGUGUCCCACGUUGGCUACCCAUCGAACUGCCUAGAAGUAUACCGUAUUUUUCGCCGUGUGUGCAGGGGUGUUUGAAUUUACCCAAAAUGAAGGUGCCCUGUGUGCCAGGGCAGGGGCCAAGGUGUCUUCGUCAAAAUUCUAGCUUUCCCUUUCCCCCACCUCUCCUUUAGAUUUCAAUUGGGUCCAAUCCUUUUAUGUUUGGCUUUUUUCCAGCUUUGUAUAUUAGGUACGGUGAAAGAAUAUCUCAUAAAGACCUGGUUUGUUCCGUACCUAAAUUUUUAUUUUAGAAGCCGAACCAAAAUAUUUAAACAGAGCCACCAAUAAACCCCAAAAGUAGCCCUUAAUCAUAUACGAAUAUAAUUAUCCCAAUAAAUUAUAUGUUAGUGGACUAGCUAUUUCUUUUAGCUUUUUAGAUAUAAAAUGACUGAUUUUUUGACUUCGCAUGCACACUAUGCAAUGCAUCGCUUAUUGCGAGCGAGCUCGCUCACGUGUGGCGCCCCACAUGGGCUGGUGCAGUAACGCUUGGUAUUUCAAUUGUUUAGUACUGUCACCGAC